Molecule: ribosomal RNA, 253 nt
Filed under: uncultured bacterium
Lineage: Bacteria
Description: partial 16S ribosomal RNA
Rfam family: Bacterial small subunit ribosomal RNA
Source: RNAcentral
UACGUAGGGACCAAGCGUUGUUCGGAUUUACUGGGCGUAAAGGGCGCGUAGGCGGCGUGACAAGUCACUUGUGAAAUCUCCGGGCUUAACUCGGAACGGUCAAGUGAUACUGUUGUGCUAGAGUACAGAAGGGGCAAUCGGAAUUCUUGGUGUAGCGGUGAAAUGCGUAGAUAUCAAGAGGAACACCAGAGGCGAAGGCGGAUUGCUGGGCUGAUACUGACGCUGAGGCGCGAAAGCUAGGGUAGCAAACGGG